UUCCAGUAUUACUUAAUAACAAAAUAUUACCAGUGUGGAUAUUUGAUAUUUUGAAAGAUUAUUUGAAGGAUUUAUUUAACUUGUGGAUUUUAAAAGCUAUCUUUGAAGAGAGGAAUUACAACUUUUGGAUAAACUAAAGUUUCUUUUGAACCGUUGUGAUAUAUUGUUGAAUUUAAUCAGAUUGGAUAUAAAUUGGACCUGGAAAGACUUUUUUUACAUAUAAAAUUGGAUCCUACUCCUCUUUGACAUUUUUGAAGGUAAACACAGGUUUUGUCCUGUCACAUGAAACACAUUCAACAGACAUUCCGCAAGAUCUUGGUCUUUCAAAGUCGCACAUACCGUCUAGAAGGCUCGCUAGAAAAGGCAAUCGGUUUAGAAGGAGUUGUUGACAAUGGAGGACGACAGGACGGACGCAUGGACGCACAGCAAACACAACGUGAUUACAAUAGCUCACCAUGAGCAAGCUAAAAUCUAGAAUAAAGUUACCUCUAGGGAAAGGAGAUUGUGUUGCCGGUCGAAAGCAGUUGUACCAUUCAUCAGUACCGUCCUGACAGUGUUUCUCACCAUCACAUACAUUACUUAUAUUGACACAUUCCGUUAUAACCUUACAUGUAAAUGUGUUAUUUGCACAGACUGAAAAAUGAAUACAAAUAAAAUUAUAUUUCUACAUAAAAAAUGGUCUUUCCUAAACUGUGCGAUGUACAAUAUUAAAUUGAUAGACACAUCUUAAAUUCAUUAUAAUUACAUUUGUGUCCAUGUAAACUUGGCAUUUGUCAUUUGUAAGAACCGAAAAAAGAAACAUAUGUCGGAAUUUUACAAUCCAACUUUCCUAAAAAUAUAUAUAAAAUAUCA
Mercenaria mercenaria is the source of this 852-nucleotide long non-coding RNA. RefSeq lists it as uncharacterized. The record is from RefSeq and is a predicted model, not a curated record. Lineage: Eukaryota; Metazoa; Mollusca; Bivalvia; Venerida; Veneridae. The transcript has 3 exons.